This is a transfer RNA of Ovis aries (sheep), 72 nucleotides long. It matches the Rfam family "tRNA". From Rfam's summary of the family: Transfer RNA (tRNA) molecules are approximately 80 nucleotides in length. Lineage: Eukaryota; Metazoa; Chordata; Mammalia; Artiodactyla; Bovidae. The record is from Rfam.
UCCCUGGUGGCUGAGAGGUUAAAGCGUCUGCCUGCAAUGCGGGAGACCCGGGUUCGUUCCCUGGAUUGGGAA